AGCGAACGCUGGCGGCAGGCUUAACACAUGCAAGUCGAGCGGGCCCUUUGGGGUCAGCGGGAUGCGGGUGAGUAACGCGUGGGAACGUGCCCCUCGGUUCGUAAUAACCCUGGGAAACUAGGGCUAAUACCGGAUGCGCCCUUAUGGGGAAAGGUUUACCGCCGAAGGAUCGGCCCGCGUCUGAUUAGCUUGUUGGUGAGGUAAGGGCUCACCAAGGCGACGAUCAGUAGCUGGUCUGAGAGGAUGAUCAGCCACACUGGGACUGAGCCACGGACCAGACUCCUACGGGAGGCAGCAGUGGGGAAUAUUGGACAAUGGGGGCAACCCUGAUCCAGCCAUGCCGCGUGAGUGAUGACGGCCUUAGGGUUGUAAAGCUAUUUUACCCGGGACGAUAAUGACGGUACCGGGUGAAUAAGCCCCGGCUAACUUCGUGCCAGCCGCCGCCGUAA
Molecule: ribosomal RNA, 449 nt
Filed under: uncultured bacterium
Lineage: Bacteria
Description: partial 16S ribosomal RNA
Rfam family: Bacterial small subunit ribosomal RNA
Source: RNAcentral